GAUCAUGGCUCAGGAUAAACGCUGGCGGCAUGCCUAAUACAUGCAAGUCAAACGGGUGUACUUGUACACCAGUGGCGAACGGGUGAGUAAUAUAUAGGUAACCUACCCUUAAGACGAGGAUAACCAUUGGAAACGAUGGAUAAUACUGGAUAGUAUAUGUUUCCGCAUGAAGACAUAUUUAAAGGCGCUUCAAAGCGUCACUUAAGGAGGGGCCUAUAUCGCAUUAGCUAGUUGGUGAGGUAACGGCCCACCAAGGCGACGAUGCGUAACUGUGCUGAGAGGCAAAACAGUCACAUUGGAACUUAGACACGGUCCAAACUCCUACGGGAGGCAGCAGUAGGGAAUUUUCGGCAAUGGAGGAAACUCUGACCGAGCAAUGCCGCGUGAACGAAGAAGAUCUUCGGAUUGUAAAAUUCUGUUAUUGGGGAAGAACUUACCUAGUAGGAAAUGACUAGGUAUUGACGGUACCUGAUUAGAAAGCCCCGGCUAACUAUGUGCCAGCCGCCGC
RNAcentral lists this ribosomal RNA (508 nucleotides) under uncultured bacterium. RNAcentral's name for it is "bacterial SSU rRNA". It matches the Rfam family "Bacterial small subunit ribosomal RNA", at positions 15 to 518 of the family's 1533-position model. The record is from RNAcentral.